This 654-nucleotide ribosomal RNA is filed under the name Diaperinae sp. UPOL ZL0108. RNAcentral's name for it is "eukaryotic LSU rRNA". It matches the Rfam family "Eukaryotic large subunit ribosomal RNA", at positions 670 to 1262 of the family's 3401-position model. The record is from RNAcentral. Lineage: Eukaryota; Metazoa; Arthropoda; Insecta; Coleoptera; Tenebrionidae.
GGAGUCUAGCAUGUGCGCGAGUCAUUGGGACAUUACUAAACCUAAAGGCGUAAUGAAAGUGAAAGUCCGCCUCGCGCGGACACAGGGAGGAUGGGCGGUAGUUACGGCUGCCGCCUCGCACUCCCGGGGCGUCUCGUUCUCAUCGCGAGAAGAGGCGCACCUAGAGCGUACACGCUGGGACCCGAAAGAUGGUGAACUAUGCCUGGUCAGGACGAAGUCAGGGGAAACCCUGAUGGAGGUCCGUAGCGAUUCUGACGUGCAAAUCGAUCGUCGGAACUGGGUAUAGGGGCGAAAGACUAAUCGAACCAUCUAGUAGCUGGUUCCCUCCGAAGUUUCCCUCAGGAUAGCUGGCGCUCGUCGCGCACGAGUUUCAUCCGGUAAAGCGAAUGAUUAGAGGCAUUGGGGUCGAAACGGCCUCAACCUAUUCUCAAACUUUAAAUGGGUGAGAUCUCCGGCUUGCUCGAAUACAUCAUAGAUAAUAUGAUGAUGAAGCCGCGAGACUCGAAUCAGAGUGCCAAGUGGGCCAUUUUUGGUAAGCAGAACUGGCGCUGUGGGAUGAACCAAACGCCGAGUUAAAGCGCCUAAAUCGACGCUUAUGGGAUACCAUGAAAGGCGUUGGUAACUUAAGACAUCAGGACGGUGGCCAUGGAAGUC